UACAGAGGUCUCAAGCGUUGUUCGGAUUCAUUGGGCGUAAAGGGUGUGUAGGUGGCGCGCUAAGUCGGGUGUGAAAUUUCGGAGCUUAACUCCGAAACUGCAUUCGAUACUGGCGUGCUUGAGGACUGGAGAGGAGACUGGAAUUCAUGGUGUAGCAGUGAAAUGCGUAGAGAUGUGGAGGAACACCAGUGGCGAAGGCGGCUUUCUGGUCUGUAACUGACGCUGAGGCGCGAAAGCGUGGGGAGCAAACAGG
RNAcentral lists this ribosomal RNA (253 nucleotides) under uncultured bacterium. Its description in RNAcentral is "partial 16S ribosomal RNA". It matches the Rfam family "Bacterial small subunit ribosomal RNA", at positions 524 to 776 of the family's 1533-position model. The record is from RNAcentral.